CAGCAGUAAGGAAUAUUGGUCAAUGGACGCAAGUCUGAACCAGCCAAGUAGCGUGCAGGAAGACGGCCCUCUGGGUUGUAAACUGCUUUUAGGUGGGAAUAAAGUGCACCACGUGUGGUGUUUUGUAUGUACCAUCAGAAAAAGGACCGGCUAAUUCCGUGCCAGCAGCCGCGGUAAUACGGAAGGUUCAGGCGUUAUCCGGAUUUAUUGGGUUUAAAGGGAGCGCAGGCGGACCUUUAAGUCAGCUGUGAAAUACGGCGGCUCAACCGUCGAACUGCAGUUGAUACUGGAGGUCUUGAGUGCACACAGGGAUACUGGAAUUCAUGGUGUAGCGGUGAAAUGCUCAGAUAUCAUGAAGAACUCCGAUCGCGAAGGCAGGUAUCCGGGGUGCAACUGACGCUGAGGCUCGAAAGUGCGGGUAUCAAACAGGAUUAGAUACCCUGGUAGUCCGCACAGUAAACGAUGAAUACUCGCGAUUUGCGAUACAGUGUAAGUCGCCAAGCGAAAGCGUUAAGUAUUCCACCUGGGGAGUACGCCGGCAACGGUGCAACUCAAAGGAAU
RNAcentral lists this ribosomal RNA (561 nucleotides) under uncultured organism. RNAcentral's name for it is "bacterial SSU rRNA". It matches the Rfam family "Bacterial small subunit ribosomal RNA", at positions 349 to 910 of the family's 1533-position model. The record is from RNAcentral.